UUCAUGACUGAUCAAUGAUCUAAUUGUGGAUGACCAUUUAGACAUGAUUGGGUUACGUGAAACUUGGCUUAAACCUACAGCUGUUCUUCCCUUAAAUGAAGCUUGCCCACUGGCAUACACAUUUAGUCACGUUUCACGUGGUACAAAGCAAGGCGGGGG
This is a long non-coding RNA of Thalassophryne amazonica, 159 nucleotides long. RefSeq lists it as uncharacterized. The transcript has 3 exons. The record is from RefSeq and is a predicted model, not a curated record. NCBI's taxonomy places the organism in Eukaryota, Metazoa, Chordata, Actinopteri, Batrachoidiformes, Batrachoididae.